GUUGCAUUAGCUCAGUCAGGCUAGAGCAUCCGGCUCAUAACCGGGCAUACAUUGGUUCAAAUCCAUUAUGCAGCACCA
RNAcentral lists this transfer RNA (78 nucleotides) under Caudoviricetes sp. Its description in RNAcentral is "tRNA-Met". It matches the Rfam family "tRNA". Rfam says of the family: Transfer RNA (tRNA) molecules are approximately 80 nucleotides in length. The record is from RNAcentral. Lineage: Duplodnaviria; Heunggongvirae; Uroviricota; Caudoviricetes.